Molecule: ribosomal RNA, 765 nt
Filed under: uncultured Streptococcus sp.
Lineage: Bacteria; Bacillati; Bacillota; Bacilli; Lactobacillales; Streptococcaceae
Description: bacterial SSU rRNA
Rfam family: Bacterial small subunit ribosomal RNA
Source: RNAcentral
GACGAACGCUGGCGGCGUGCCUAAUACAUGCAAGUAGAACGCUGAAGAGAGGAGCUUGCUCUUCUUGGAUGAGUUGCGAACGGGUGAGUAACGCGUAGGUAACCUGCCUUGUAGCGGGGGAUAACUAUUGGAAACGAUAGCUAAUACCGCAUAACAAUGGAUGACACAUGUCAUUUAUUUGAAAGGGGCAAUUGCUCCACUACAAGAUGGACCUGCGUUGUAUUAGCUAGUAGGUGAGGUAACGGCUCACCUAGGCGACGAUACAUAGCCGACCUGAGAGGGUGAUCGGCCACACUGGGACUGAGACACGGCCCAGACUCCUACGGGAGGCAGCAGUAGGGAAUCUUCGGCAAUGGGGGCAACCCUGACCGAGCAACGCCGCGUGAGUGAAGAAGGUUUUCGGAUCGUAAAGCUCUGUUGUAAGUCAAGAACGAGUGUGAGAGUGGAAAGUUCACACUGUGACGGUAGCUUACCAGAAAGGGACGGCUAACUACGUGCCAGCAGCCGCGGUAAUACGUAGGUCCCGAGCGUUGUCCGGAUUUAUUGGGCGUAAAGCGAGCGCAGGCGGUUUGAUAAGUCUGAAGUUAAAGGCUGUGGCUCAACCAUAGUUCGCUUUGGAAACUGUCAAACUUGAGUGCAAAAGGGGAGAGUGGAAUUCCAUGUGUAGCGGUGAAAUGCGUAGAUAUAUGGAGGAACACCGGUGGCGAAAGCGGCUCUCUGGUCUGUAACUGACGCUGAGGCUCGAAAGCGUGGGGAGCGAACAGG